This 450-nucleotide ribosomal RNA is filed under the name uncultured bacterium. RNAcentral's name for it is "bacterial SSU rRNA". It matches the Rfam family "Bacterial small subunit ribosomal RNA", at positions 330 to 793 of the family's 1533-position model. The record is from RNAcentral.
UCCAGACUCCUACGGGAGGCAGCAGUGGGGGAUAUUGCACAAUGGGGGAAACCCUGAUGCAGCGACGCCGCGUGGGCGAAGAAGUAUUUCGGUAUGUAAAGCCCUAUCAGCAGGGAAGAAGAAAUGACGGUACCUGAGUAAGAAGCACCGGCUAAAUACGUGCCAGCAGCCGCGGUAAUACGUAGGGGGCAAGCGUUAUCCGGAUUCACUGGGUGUAAAGGGAGCGUAGACGGCGACGCAAGUCUGGAGUGAAAGCCCGGGGCCCAACCCCGGGACUGCUCUGGAAACUGCGUCGCUGGAGUACGGGAGGGGCAGGCGGAAUUCCUGGUGUAGCGGUGAAAUGCGUAGAUAUCAGGAGGAACACCGGCGGCGAAGGCGGCCUGCUGGACCGUGACUGACGUUGAGGCUCGAGAGCGUGGGGAGCAAACAGGAUUAGAUACCCGGGUAAAG